Molecule: long non-coding RNA, 3586 nt
Filed under: Manihot esculenta (cassava)
Lineage: Eukaryota; Viridiplantae; Streptophyta; Magnoliopsida; Malpighiales; Euphorbiaceae
Description: long non-coding RNA (MESC_LNC003120)
Source: RNAcentral
CCCUAAGACACUCUUCUUGGACCUGACUUAAACACAUAAGGCCCAAGCCCAAUCACACACUAAAAUAACACAUAAUAUUAAAACAUAAGCCCAAAACAUGGCCCAACACUCUAAAACUUAAAAGAUAAAAUAUGGCUAGAAUACAAGCCCAAACAAAGGUAAAAUAAAAUAAGUGUUCAAAUAAUAAAACAUAGCAAGCCCAUCAUAACAAAGCUGAAUCUUCACAAAAGCCUUACUUGAUCUUCACUUUAGGCUUCCCUUUGUGUAGUUUUAGCCCAUAGGUUUGAUUAGGCUCCCUAAGCCUAUGAUUACAAGUGUUGCACCAAAUCUGUCCCAUAUGAGUUGAAGCAUGCCCCAAAUAUAUAUGGAUCAUAUGAAUAUGAUUUUGAACUCCUUUUAGAUCCAUUUAAAUGACAUAAGUUUACUCCACACCAUUGUUAGAAAUUUGCCCUAUUGGAUCUGUAUCAUUCUCUCCUUCUUUAAAAAAGAUUCGUCCUCGAAUCUUGCUGAUAUUUAUGUCAAAAACGGAAGCUUUAGGAACCCAUGUAUUUUCAAAGACCUCCUUUUGAAUAGGUGGAAAUAGGAUAAAACUUUCGUCAUGAAUGUUUUCAUCAACAACCUGCACAUCAAGAACAAAUGAACUAGGCAUAAAAAUAUUAAUCAUAGAAAGAUCAUUUGGAUGUGACCCAUUCUCCUCUACAACUUCCAAAACAGUCUCAUUCGCCUCCUCCACCUCAUCAAUCACGUGCUCCCCAUGUCCCUCAUCAUUCACAACCUCUUCUAUAAGUUCAUUGAUGGAAUUCUCAACAACAACUACAUUAGAUUCAUGCAUUACAACUUCCUCUUCAAUUUCAAUCUCUAUGGAAGUUGAGAUUGGAACUUUAGCCUCUUCUUUCUCCUUUUCUUUCUCCACCUUUCCUCCUUGAACUAGUCUUGAUUCUUUUCCAGCCUCUUUACCCUCAAACUCACUCUUUUCUCUCAUCUUUUCCGCAGAAUUCAAGCUCUCACUCCCCUUUGUGGCCAAGGCCGAAGCCUCCCUCUCCCUCUCUAUCAUCUUUAUUUGAUCAACAUAUACCUCUUGAGGUGAUAAAGGAGCGAGUAUAACCUUCUGUCCUUCAUGAGUGAAUGAGUACUUGUUAUUAAACCCAUCAUAUUGCAUCUGUCUAUCAUGUUGCCACGGUCUACCCAACAACAUAUGGCUUGCCUGCAUAGGUACCACAUCACACAAUAUCUCAUCCUUGUACCUACCAAUAGAAAAUGGUAUAACCACCUGGCGUGUAACCCUAACCUCACCACAUUCAUUCAACCAUUGCAAUCUGUAUGGCUUAGGGUGUUCAAUAGAAGUCAAGCCCAAUUUCUCCACCAUAUACACACUUGCCACAUUUGUGCAACUACCUCCAUCAAUAAUGAGAGUACACACUUUUCCAUUAACCAAACACCUAGUGUGAAAUAUGUUUUCCCGUUGUUCUAGGCUUUCUUUCUUAACCUGCAUAUUCAGAGCACGCCUAGCAACAAGCAUCUCAUAAUGUGCAGCAAGCAACACAUUAUUAACCAACACAUCCGAAUCAUCACAGUCAUUAUUGCAAUUAAGAGUUCUUUGAGGUAUUCUUGUAGAAGUGGAAGCUUGUGAGACAUUCAAACUCUCGAUAGUUUCAGUCAACCUCUCAAGAGUCUUAUUAAGCCUUUGUAACUCACCACUGACUGACUUCUUAAAGAGCUUAUAAUCGUUACCCAUAUUCGAUUUACUUCUAUCAGUACGAUCCACCACACUCUUGUCUUUACUCAUCCUACCUUAAAUCAACAAAUAACAAAAAGAACUAGCAAAUAUUGUAUUAAAAAAAAAAGUACUCAAGUGUUUGCACUCUUACCAUUCUUUUGCUGAUUCUUCAAUUGCACUUCAGAAACUAAGGUCAGCCAACCAACCACAAGGUGCGUUUAAUGAAACAAAGAAGAAAACCUAAAGAAAGAAGGAAGUGAACAAAAAAUAGAAAGAAGACACUGACAAUUUGGAAAGUAACACACAAACUGGGUUUUGUGCUACUUGAAAAAUAUCACCUAGAGUAUAGACAUAAGCAAAAUACGAUCCACCACACUCUUGUCUUUACUCAUCCUACCUUAAAUCAACAAAUAACAAAAAGAACUAGCAAAUAUUGUAUUAAAAAAAAAAGUACUCAAGUGUUUGCACUCUUACCAUUCUUUUGCUGAUUCUUCAAUUGCACUUCAGAAACUAAGGUCAGCCAACCAACCACAAGGUGCGUUUAAUGAAACAAAGAAGAAAACCUAAAGAAAGAAGGAAGUGAACAAAAAAUAGAAAGAAGACACUGACAAUUUGGAAAGUAACACACAAACUGGGUUUUGUGCUACUUGAAAAAUAUCACCUAGAGUAUAGACAUAAGCAAACAAUACUCCAGCAAUGUCAAGGAAGUAAAAGCAAGCUUAAACCAAAAACGAAACUUUAAAUUCAAAUAAAAAUGAAUCUGGACAAAAGUUUGAAUUUAAUUCGUUUCAACGCAAAUUAAAUAUAGAUCUAUUUAAAUCUACCCAAAAAGGAAAGUAUCAAAACCCACAAAUAGACUAAAAAAAAAUAUAUAUAUAUAUCUCACUUAGUGCUGCAUCAUGGACGAAAAUGGGCAUUAAAAGAUGGAUUUGAAACCAAAUCGAUUUAGAUGCAGUUGCCUUAAAUGUGCACCUUAAGAAAUAGACAGAUUUCUUUUUCUCCUAAUCUGGAUUCAACUCAAUUCAAAAUUCAAACUUGAUUCCCAUAAACUACAGCAAUCAAUUGAGAUAGGUAAUGAAAUAUAGAUGAAAAAGGAAGUAUAUCACAAUUUCGGCCAGAUCAAGAUUAAUAUGGCAAAGGCGAUUUUUUUUUUCAUUUUUUUUUUUGGAUGUCGAAUUUUCUUCCAAAAGAGAUUAUGUGAUAAUUUAUCAAGAAGAUGCAGCCAUGAAUACAAAAGCUUUCACCGAAAUCAAUAACGAAGGAAAGAAAACUCAAAAAAAUAACUCUAGAUCCUGAGAUAAAUAAGAAUUUACCUCACUUUGGCUCUGAUACCAACUGACGCGGAACCCUAUGGCACAAGCCUCAAACCCACACGCACAAGUAGAUACGGAAUCUAAAGAUCUGAUAAACCCACCUCCUAUGACACCCCAAACUUAGAGAAGCUGAAACACCAAUGAUCGAAGGAUUUAGAUGAGAAUCCGACAAACGCCACAACGAAUAGUUGAUAAGUUAGCCAAGAUUCCUGGUGCAAUUGAUGAAAGCAAAUCCUCACUCUCACUCAAAGCAAUACACGCCAGAGGCAUGAAAAAAAUUCUGAAAAGUUUGAUUAAAAGCUGCCUCUUACAAUUGUUUCUCAUCCUUAUAUAGUAAGGAGAAAAACAAAUAAAACCCUAAGACACUCUUCUUGGACCUGACUUAAACACAUAAGGCCCAAGCCCAAUCACACACUAAAAUAACACAUAAUAUUAAAACAUAAGCCCAAAACAUGGCCCAACACUCUAAAACUUAAAAGAUAAAAUAUGGCCAGAAUACAAGCCCAAACAAAGGUAAAAUAAAAUAAGUGUUCAAAUAAUAAAACAUAGCAAGCCC